Molecule: ribosomal RNA, 276 nt
Filed under: uncultured bacterium
Lineage: Bacteria
Description: partial 16S ribosomal RNA
Rfam family: Bacterial small subunit ribosomal RNA
Source: RNAcentral
CUUUCUCCGCCGGCGACCGGCGCACGGGUGAGUAACACGUAUGCAACCUGCCCCUGUCAGGGGGACAACCCGCCGAAAGGCGGGCUAAACCCGCGUACAUGCCACCGGGGCAUCCCGGAGGCAGGAAAGGCUUCGGCCGGCCAGGGAUGGGCAUGCGGCGCAUUAGGCAGUAGGCGGGGUAACGGCCCACCUAACCGACGAUGCGUAGGGGUUCUGAGAGGAAGGUCCCCCACACUGGUACUGAGACACGGACCAGACUCCUACGGGAGGCAGCAG